RNAcentral lists this ribosomal RNA (74 nucleotides) under Escherichia coli. RNAcentral's name for it is "partial 23S ribosomal RNA". The record is from RNAcentral. Lineage: Bacteria; Pseudomonadati; Pseudomonadota; Gammaproteobacteria; Enterobacterales; Enterobacteriaceae. RNAcentral also lists the same sequence under 12 other names.
GGUGUGUAAGCGCAGCGAUGCGUUGAGCUAACCGGUACUAAUGAACCGUGAGGCUUAACCUUACAACGCCGAAG